UGAGUCAAAUGUAUUGAAUUAAUAAAUGAAUAUCCAUAUCUUAUCUGCAAGCCUGUUUGAUUUGUAACCACAUGGACAUACAGCUUUAAUGACGAGGAAUGACUUGGAGGCCAAUUAGCAUCCAUUUAUGCUACUGCUGCUGGGGGUUAAUUAACUCUGAUAAAUGUGCACAAAUUAGCAUUUGUUGUUUUACAGCAGAAAUCACAUCAAGGUGAAUCCCAUGCCAAGCUCUGAAGCAGAGGGUUGUAGACACCUGAGCUGUGGACGGGAGACGCCCUGAAGUUUAACCCAUGAGGACCUCCCACCAUUUCCUCAGCUGACUGCUUUCUCAGAUCCUUUCAAAGAGGCGUUUCCUAGUGAUGGUCAGACAGCAGAAACCCGUCACAUCCAUGAGCCUGUGCGAAUUCCCUUUGCCUGUUUUGUGAAGAUCUGGGGAGGGUUGCUAUGGUGAACUUAGUGCUUGGGGAGGGAAAGGAGCCCCUGCCUGAGAAUGUUCCUGGUCCCCAGUGUCCCUCCCCCUCAGGAAAGUGACAUCAGAGAGGAGGAGCUGAGCUUUUACCCCCGCGUGUCACCUCAUCUCUCUACGCCUCAAUUUCCUCAUUGGAUGGUGGCAUCUGCUUUAUGGGGAGGGGGGUGUUGCAGUGGCAUUGCUGAGGAUGAAGUGACAUAAUGAGUGUCAUGGUACUUCGAGAACCAUAUAUUAUGCUGUCACUCACUUCAUCGACAUCGACAGUCCCAAAAGUUGUCGGCUUCUGUUCAGCUGCCUGUGCUGUGAGAGAUGAGUGGUGUCUAAGAAUUCCUUUGGGAAGGGUUUGACCAGCUCUCUGGGGGGCAGACAGUGUGGGCACUUAAUUGAGUCGCCUGGCACACACAUGACUCUCUGAGGCUGGCACAGAGAGGACUCUGGAACACGUCCCGUCAGUCUGGCCCAGUGCUGGAUUAGCGGCCUGUCCUGGGUGUCAUUUCAAGUUCUGCUUCAAGUUCUGUGUUGUCUGCGGAUCCUUGGCAGCGAUACAAGGGCUCUGCUUCUCCAGAUCUCCCAGAUCAAGCCGCCUCACUUGGGAGUGGCAGGUGGAGGGGGAGCGGAAGAUAUUUCCAGAUCCUGAUUUCACAGCACAGUGACUAGACAGAGAGGCAUCCCAUAAAGCCUUCCCGGGCCCGGCACCGCGGCGAGCUGUCAGUAGGGGGAGCUCUGUCACUGUGGUGCCUCCUCUUGCCGCAGCUGGGGUGAGGGUCUGCCUGGGGGUCUGAGGAGGGGCUCUAGGAGGCCAAGGGCGCUGUCUUCGGUAGACAGGUACUGAAAAGCAGCUAGGUCAAGAGUUGUGGGCUGCGAGAGCCCCAGCAGAAAAAGAAGUGGAAAUCCACUGUGCCUGGUGCCCAGGGGUUAGAAGGGUGUUUGGGCUAAGCACACAAAGAAAACGCACAAAUAUCCCAACUUAGGGUGUCUUAACGAAGAAGGGCUGGAGGGUGCGGCUUCACUAAGACCGAAGCUGCUAGAAUUGCCCUCCCUCCCCGUUCCCUCCCACAGGGCCGCCUGUGGGGACUGGCCACAAGGGGGCCCAACAUGGUUCCGGGAGCUCCCGAGUGUGCCCUCUGUGGGUGCCUGGGUCUCUCUGCUCACUGAGCAGCCCUCAUGAAGCUGGCCUGGCCCUGGCUUAUCAGCUGUACCCAAAGGCAGGAAGGUUCUAAAUGAGGCUCCUAGCCUCAGACUGGGAAGAGGGGAAGAUAAGAAUGUAAGCUUCAUAAGGAGAGCGCUGGGAGUUUCUCUCGUUUACCACCCAUCGAGUCCCUGGCAGAAAGUAGAUACUCAACAAAUAAGAGCCGAAUGAGAGAAUAAAUGGGGUCACCAGGUUGCCAGUGGAAUCCCUCCCACCUUCUAGCGGCCAGACUGCUGUCUCAGACUGUAUGGAUACUGUGCUGUGUUCUUAUCGACUGAAGGGGAGAACCACAGCUGGGCUGAAGCUCUCCGCGCAGCUCCUGGGACUUUUGAGUUCUCGUGAGGUGAUCACUGGUCUCACUCCUCUUGUUUGAUCUCCCCCGGACUCUCGGCUAAGUUAAGGUCCAUUCCCUACCACGCCCACUGUCUUCUUUCUCGAGAUUCUUAGCUUCUGGUCUUUGUGUGACACACGUGGCUCUCUCCAAGUGAAGCCCAGAAAGCUACAUGGUGGAGGGAAGGUUGUGGGCCGUUAGCUCCUGAGCUACUGCUCCAGAGCCAGAGUCUCUUAGCAUGGUCCACCUGCCCUCGAUGCAGUUUCAUGAUGAGAUCAAGGAGCAGGUCAUCUGGACUGGUUGGGAUGGUUUCAGAAGAAGCCUGAAUACUUCCUGAAGCAGUCCACCUCUGCUUUUGCAAGUCCUCCGGAACUUUGUACCUUGAGAGCUGGCUCAGAGGCAGCCGAGGAGCCGGCCUGGAGACUCCCCUUUCUCUAGAGAGCGGGACUACAGCUUGCUGGCUGAGCGCACAGAGCCUCAAGGCCGCUCUACCUGUGUGCCCUGCUCAUGGUCCGCCCCCAGCCACUCCCUCGCCGGGCCUGUGCUGAAUCAGCAGCAUCCCCCUUGCUCUCUUGGCAUCGUGCAGCCCGGCUAAGCCAAGUGUGGUUACAAUGAGUCGGUUCAUCUGGAAGCUCGCAUCCUGUACCCUUUUCCAAUGUGAUAUUCCAGCCAACUGGCACCCAAGAGUAAAGAGAAACCCUGGGAACCGAGGCUGCUGAGGACUUACAGCCUUGCACAAGCCAAGGGCAAGGGCAACAUUGAGGGGAAGGUCGCCCCGCUGCCAGGCCUUUCUCUCUACUCCAUCUUUGUUCCUGUCUAGCAGCACAUGGCCCCGGCUGGCAGUCAGCGAUCCGCUGCUGGUACUUGUUGGUGGCUUGGCUGUCCUCCAUCUAGCCAGGGCAUUUGGACCUUUUUUCUAAUUCUGCUUAUGAGCUCGGGAAGCGAGCCAGUAGGUUCCCUUGGAAAUUGCCUCUAUUGAUGUCAUUUUCCAUCCUAGUCCCCGGGGGAAUCUGUUUCUCUAUUUCCUCCACAUUGACACUACUCUUGCCCUUGGCUCAAAUACAGAAGCCUCAGGUAGCACCAAUGCCAUGGGGAAGGGAAGGGAUGGGGGGGCACAUGUAAGGGACGGAGGUCAUGGGGCACUCGGGUGGCUCCGUUGGUUAAGUAUCCGACUCUUGAUUUCAGCUCAGGUUAUGAUCUUGCGGUUCCUGAGUUUGAGCCCCACAUCAGGCUCUGCACACACAGCACAGAGCCUGCCUUGGAUCUUCUGUCUCCCUCUCUCUGCCCCUCCCUGACUCGAACUCGUACUCUGUCUCUCAAGAACAAAAAAAUGUUAAAAAAAACUUAAAGAUGGAGGCGGUAAAAUGUUUACAUCUGGUCAAAGUGAUAGAUGAAGCUUUGAGCCCCCAGGGUUGUAAAGUCACCCAAGGAGGGAGGGAGUCACAGGCUUAUUUCUUAGCCCCCGGACUGAUUGGCUAUGGCUUUUGUCAGGAACUCUCUGGCACAUCUGUGAGCACCAGUGUUGACAUGGGUUAUGGGCUGAAUCACACCCCACCCUCCGCCCACACAUUCAUAUGAAAUCUUAGCUAUCGGUACCUCAGCAUAGCUCUGUAUUUGGAAAUUGAGUCUUUUAAAAGGUAAUUAAGGUACAAAUGAGGUCAUAUAGAUGAGCCCUAAUCCAGUAUGACCGGUGUCCUUAUAAGUGGAGAUGUGGACACAGACAGGCAUGGAGAAAAGACCACAUGAAGACAGAGGAGAAGGUGGUUGUCUGCAAGACAAGCAGAGCAACCCUGAGAAGAUACCUAUCUUAUCGACAUUCCUGUUCUUAGACGCCUACCCCCCAGUGUUGCGGGAAAAUAAAUUCCCAUUGUUUAAACCAUACAGUCUGUGGGACUUUGUUACGGCUGCCCUAGCCAACUAACACAGCCUCUUCCAGCAAUAACAGAGAAGGUGUGUGCAGAAGGGCCAAGGGGCUAGUAGAUUAGAUGAUCCCAUUGUGACCAUUUUCUCUUGGACUCUCGAGAUUACUGGUGGUGUGGGGCGCCUGGGUGGCUCCACUGGCUAGGCAUCUGACCCUUGAUUCUGGCUGAGGUCACGAUCUCCUGGUUUGCGAGUUUGAGCCCUGUGUUGGGCUCUGUGCUGGCAGUGGGGAGCCUGGUUGGGAUUCUCUCUCUCCCUCUCUGGCUCUCUCGAAAUAAACAAACAUUUAAAAAAAUAAAAAUUAAAUUAAAUUAAAAAAAAAAAA
Acinonyx jubatus (cheetah) is the source of this 4234-nucleotide long non-coding RNA. RefSeq lists it as uncharacterized. NCBI's taxonomy places the organism in Eukaryota, Metazoa, Chordata, Mammalia, Carnivora, Felidae. The transcript is spliced from 2 exons. The record is from RefSeq and is a predicted model, not a curated record.